CAGCUUGCUGGGGGGAUUAGUGGCGAACGGGKGAGUAMCACGKGAGUAMCCUGCCCUUAAYUYUGGGAUAASCCUGGGAAACUGGGUYUAAUMCCGGAUAUGAYUCYUCAUCSCAUGGUGGGGGGUGGAAAGCUUUUUGUGGUUUUGGAUGGACUCGCGGCCUAUCAGCUUGUUGGUGAGGUAAUGGCUCACCAAGGCGACGACGGGUAGCCGGCCUGAGAGGGUGACCGGCCACACUGGGACUGAGACACGGCCCAGACUCCUACGGGAGGCAGCAGUGGGGAAUAUUGCACAAUGGGCGCAAGCCUGAUGCAGCGACGCCGCGUGAGGGAUGACGGCCUUCGGGUUGUAAACCUCU
Molecule: ribosomal RNA, 358 nt
Filed under: Arthrobacter sp. R-46132
Lineage: Bacteria; Bacillati; Actinomycetota; Actinomycetes; Micrococcales; Micrococcaceae
Description: partial 16S ribosomal RNA
Rfam family: Bacterial small subunit ribosomal RNA
Source: RNAcentral